RNAcentral lists this long non-coding RNA (1057 nucleotides) under Phasianus colchicus (ring-necked pheasant). Its description in RNAcentral is "lncRNA (ENSPCLG00000016617.1)". Lineage: Eukaryota; Metazoa; Chordata; Aves; Galliformes; Phasianidae. The record is from RNAcentral.
GGCCCUCAUAUUCACCCCCCCACACCCCCCAGGAACCCUCCCAAGACCCCCCCCUCCGACCCCCCCCAUACCUGGUGGGGAGGGGCACACGCUGGGGGUGGUUCCAUGCCCGGUGCAGCCCCGCCCCCACCAUAGCGCUCAGCACAGCCUGAGCCAAAGCCCGACCCCUCCCAGAACCGGGGGGGUGCGGCCCCAUCGCCACCUCCCUGCGGGGUCAGAGGUCAGAGGGCACGGAGGGGUCAAAGGUCAAAGGGUGGGGGGUCACAGGGUGGGGUUCGGAGGGGGUCAGAGUACGGGGUUGGGGUCAGAAGCUGUGGUCACGGUGGGGUCAGGGGUCAGAGGUCGCUCACCUGACCCAUGCCUCGAUGCGCUCCCCCCGCAGGCGGCGCUGCACCUCUUCCCGCAGCUGAGGCCAAGUGGGCGGAGCUUCGGGGGUGGCCCCGCCCCCAAAUUCCUCCAGGGUGGGGUCAAGGGCCUCAGGCCCCGCCCACGCCCCGCCCCCACACGGGGUUCGUCCAAUCCCAGCCACCAGCAGCCCUGGGGGAGGGGCCAGGUGUGGGCAGGGUCGGGAAAAGGGGGCGUGACCACGUGGGGGGGGGCGUGGUCACGGGGCGUGAUUGUGGGCGUGGCCGGGGGGGCGUGGUCUACGCGUGUUUGUGGGCGUGGCUACAGCGGUGUGAGAGCUGCGCGGUGGGCGUGGCCACGUGCGGAUGUGGGCGUGGCCUCUUUCGGAGGUGGGCGUGGUCUCCCUGGGGAGUGGGCGUGGCUUAUCCUUACCGACCAGGAAGGCGGAGGCGGAGCCAAGCGCCAACGUGACGAGUGGGUGGAGCCAGGGGCGGGACCGGGGGCGGGGCUUACGGCGUGGGCGGGGCCUGGAGGGUGGUGGGGGCAGCAGAAUAGUGGGCCCCCCCCUGACCUCCCCACCCUGCCCUUCCUCCUCUUCUUCUUCCUCCUCCUCCUCCUCGGGGUCGCGGUGGCGGCUGUAGGCGACCACCCCCACGGUGGGGGGGGGCUGUGACACUGUGUUACCAUUGGGGGGGGCGGGGAGGGGGAAACC